Molecule: small RNA, 839 nt
Filed under: Pan troglodytes (chimpanzee)
Lineage: Eukaryota; Metazoa; Chordata; Mammalia; Primates; Hominidae
Description: retained intron
Source: RNAcentral
AGUGCUAUGAAGGUGACAGCGUGAGGUGACCCAUCUGGCCCCCCGCGAUGCUGGCAACACGGCGGCUGCUCGGCUGGUCGCUUCCCGCGCGGGUAUCUGUGCGUUUCAGCGGCGACACGGUGAGGCCCGGCCUGGCUGGGGCCACGGGUGUUCGGGGCCGGGUGUCGCGGCCGCGCCUGUGCACGAGCAGUCCCUGGGGUCUGUAGUGGCCUCUGGAGAGCCCUUCUCCCCAGGCCAGGCGGGAAGGCCCCCGCUCCGGCCUGGUUGAUGUAGGGGAACGGGUCCCAACGCGGGGCCGACUCCUUUGGCCCUCUGACUUGCUGGCUUCCCUUGUUUUACAGUCCUCGGCCUGGCGGAAGUUUUGCAGACAGCACCCAAGAAAACCUCAUUUGGCUCGCUGAAGGAUGAAGACCGGAUUUUCACCAACCUGUACGGCCGCCAUGACUGGAGGUGAGACAGUGCCCUUAGUGUGUUGGGUCCGGGAGCAAGGUGUCCCCUUCAUUGCCUUCCCUAUUCUGUCCAGGCUGAAAGGUUCCCUGAGUCGAGGUGACUGGUACAAGACAAAGGAGAUCCUGCUGAAGGGGCCCGACUGGAUCCUGGGCGAGAUCAAGACAUCGGGUUUGCGGGGCCGUGGAGGCGCUGGCUUCCCCACUGGCCUCAAGUGGAGCUUCAUGAAUAAGCCCUCAGAUGGCAGGCCCAAGUAUCUGGUGGUGAACGCAGACGAGGGGGAGCCGGGCACCUGCAAGGACCGGGAGAUCUUACGCCAUGAUCCUCACAAGCUGGUGGAAGGCUGCCUGGUGGGGGGCCGGGCCAUGGGCGCCCGCGCCGCCUAUAUCUAC